This 1397-nucleotide ribosomal RNA is filed under the name uncultured bacterium. RNAcentral describes it as "bacterial SSU rRNA". It matches the Rfam family "Bacterial small subunit ribosomal RNA". The record is from RNAcentral.
AGAGUUUGAUCCUGGCUCAGGAUGAACGCUAGCUACAGGCUUAACACAUGCAAGUCGAGGGGCAGCAUCAUCAAAGCCUGCUUUGAUGGAUGGCGACCGGCGCACGGGUGAGUAACACGUAUCCAACCUGCCGACAACACUGGGAUAGCCUUUCGAAAGAAAGAUUAAUACCGGAUGGCAUAAUUUUCCCGCAUGGGAUAAUUAUUAAAGAAUUUCGGUUGUCGAUGGGGAUGCGUUCCAUUAGGCAGUUGGCGGGGUAACGGCCCACCAAACCUACGAUGGAUAGGGGUUCUGAGAGGAAGGUCCCCCACAUUGGAACUGAGACACGGUCCAAACUCCUACGGGAGGCAGCAGUGAGGAAUAUUGGUCAAUGGACGAGAGUCUGAACCAGCCAAGUAGCGUGAAGGAUGACUGCCCUAUGGGUUGUAAACUUCUUUUAUACGGGAAUAAAGUGAGCCACGUGUGGCUUUUUGUAUGUACCGUAUGAAUAAGGAUCGGCUAACUCCGUGCCAGCAGCCGCGGUAAUACGGAGGAUUCGAGCGUUAUCCGGAUUUAUUGGGUUUAAAGGGAGCGUAGGCGGGUUGUUAAGUCAGUUGUGAAAGUUUGCGGCUCAACCGUAAAAUUGCAGUUGAUACUGGCGACCUUGAGUGCAACAGAGGUAGGCGGAAUUCGUGGUGUAGCGGUGAAAUGCUUAGAUAUCACGAAGAACUCCGAUUGCGAAGGCAGCUUACUGGAUUGUAACUGACGCUGAUGCUCGAAAGUGUGGGUAUCAAACAGGAUUAGAUACCCUGGUAGUCCACACAGUAAACGAUGAAUACUCGCUGUUGGCGAUAUACGGUCAGCGGCCAAGCGAAAGCAUUAAGUAUUCCACCUGGGGAGUACGCCGGCAACGGUGAAACUCAAAGGAAUUGACGGGGGCCCGCACAAGCGGAGGAACAUGUGGUUUAAUUCGAUGAUACGCGAGGAACCUUACCCGGGCUUAAAUUACAUUUGAAUAAUCUGGAAACAGUUUAGCCGUAAGGCAAAUGUGAAGGUGCUGCAUGGUUGUCGUCAGCUCGUGCCGUGAGGUGUCGGCUUAAGUGCCAUAACGAGCGCAACCCUUAUCUUCAGUUACUAACAGGUCAUGCUGAGGACUCUGGAGAGACUGCCGUCGUAAGAUGUGAGGAAGGUGGGGAUGACGUCAAAUCAGCACGGCCCUUACGUCCGGGGCUACACACGUGUUACAAUGGGGGGUACAGAAGGCAGCUACCUGGUGACAGGAUGCUAAUCCCAAAAACCUCUCUCAGUUCGGAUCGAAGUCUGCAACCCGACUUCGUGAAGCUGGAUUCGCUAGUAAUCGCGCAUCAGCCAUGGCGCGGUGAAUACGUUCCCGGGCCUUGCACACACCGCCCGUCAAG